RNA transcript from Olea europaea var. sylvestris, 1967 nucleotides. It is a transcript of the gene named branched-chain-amino-acid aminotransferase 2, chloroplastic-like, with no coding region annotated. NCBI's taxonomy places the organism in Eukaryota, Viridiplantae, Streptophyta, Magnoliopsida, Lamiales, Oleaceae. The record is from RefSeq and is a predicted model, not a curated record. The transcript is spliced from 4 exons.
CCAUCAAUCCUAUACAUUUUUUUGGUUUAAAUCGAUGAAUUAGAAGUCUUGAGUGAACGGAUUUGAUUUAGUUUUAUCUUCGGGUAGAUGUUGGGGAUUUGAAGUCGUGUUUUUCUUCAAACUUGAUUUGAUUUAGUUUUAUAUUUGUAUUUAGUUUAACAGCAACGUUUGAAACAUUAGGUGAACAGAAUGGAUUCAUUUUUGGUUGCUGGUAUAUACUAUUUAAAAAUUAAUUAUUUUUUAUCUACCUGAAAAGUAUCAAUCUUGGUGUAAUAUUUGUGAUUUACAUUUUGUUGUCUUUUAAUACACUGUUUUUUCUAUGAUAGUUCUGAUUGUGAAAUUGGGCCUUUAACUUUUCUAUUUAUUAUAAGCAAGAUUGGAAUGCUGGAAUUCGUUCAGGAUUCGGAAUACUGGUUCCAACUACCUAUAUCCUUUUUGCCUCAGCUCUUCCAGUAAUUUCAUUUGGAGAGCAAAUAAGCAAAGAUAUUGGUACACUUUUAACUUAAGUUUGGGUAGAAAAACCCUGAAGCCUGGCUUGUUAUCAGCUGUCAAAGUGAUCAUAACCACACAAAACAUUAUUUCUGUUUAUAAAGGAUUACAAGUUUUGUACUGAUUUAUUGCUUAGGAUUGCAGAUGGGAGCCUAAGAACAGUAGAACUUUGGUAUCAACUGCAAUUUGUGGUAAUGCAUAGUACACUUUAUAUUUGGUGGAUAAGCCUCCUUAUUGUACAUACAUGAUGGCACUUAUACAUGUGCAUUUGCAGUCUAACUUAAAUGUGAUCUUACAUACUUCUAAUUUAUUUUAUUUGCAUUUUUUAGCAUUAUGUUUUGUUGCAUCAGCAUCUUAGUUUAUGAGGACAUGACAUUUGUUUGUUUGAACUUUGAAUUUCAGUUGUAUUUUUCCUUUCAGCAAUGUUAUAUUUUGGUAAUCGCUUUUUCGCCUUUUGAUAUUUCAACUUAUGUAAAUAUCCCGAGUGUAUGGCUGUUGGAGCAAUCAUAUAGUGAUUGACUAUGAACUUAAAAAAAUGGCAUAUUUCUACAGCGCAUAAAAGAUGGAAAAGCAACAUAUGUCUUCCUAUUGUUAUUGUUAUCAUUGAUGUUGCUUUGAAACUUCUGCAUUUAGUUUGGGUGUGUUAGAAUAGUUGAAUUGGAUUUGUUUCUAAAAUAAGCUAUUCAUAUAGAGUGGGAUAUUUCCUAAUUUUUCUAUCUAUUUUUAGGAUGAUAGGAUGGUUUACUGUUAAGCUUUCUAGAAUUCAAUUCUUACAUUGUAUUUAUCUUUGUAAUUUCUACUUGGAACAGAAUUAGGUUUCAGUCUUCCCAAACUUCACUUGGUAUCAAAGCCAUACUAGUUCUGUUUAUAAAGGAUUACAAGUUUUUUUCUACCAUUUAUAGCGUUUGCAACAUUUGAGUAAUCAUCUUGGAAUUUUUACCAACAGGAGGGUACAGUACCCUUGAACCUAUAUGUUCAGGAUGAAUUUCAUCGUUCCGCACAAGCGAGGGUUGGAGGUGUCAAAAGCAUUACAAAUUAUGCUCCGGUUUUGAAAUCAUUAAACAGAGCAUGGAACAGAGGCUUCUCUAAUGUCUUAUACCUUGAUUCUAUGAAUAAGAGAUAUAUUGAAGAGGCCUCUUCUUGUUCAGUCUUCAUUUCGAAGGUUUGAAGCACAUCUCUCAAUAGGUAGCAUCUUUUCUAGGUGUGGGUGUUGUCUGGAGGACUGCAAAUGCCGAAUCAGGAUCAACGAUUGUCAUCUUCGAGUUAGGAGCAAUAGGAUUAGUUUUAUGAUCUUCUACCUGAUAGAAUAGGAUGAUUUGCUGCCUAUCUAAUUCAUGAGGAUAAAGAGUUCUAUUUUUUAGGUGCAUAAUUAUAGAUAUAGAGCAUGCUUGCCAUGCUUUUAUUAAAUUUAGAUGUAAUGAUACUUAGUAAAUGGUUUUUAUUUGUUGUUUGAUAAAAUAUUUUUGGAUUCGAUGUUA